GUUAUUAAAUGCUGUUUAAUGAUUUAAAGCUAAAUUUUCCAGGUGCUGAAUAGAUAGGAACAUUUAUUCACUAUAUUUUCCAGAUUGUAAUGUGAACUCCAAAAGCAUUUAUAAUCAGAUCCAGGGGUUUUCACCUUUUUUUUGAAACUGUACCCCUUCUGUAGGGAGGUUUCAGAUAAAGUACGCUUUACAUUUUUCGCUCAAUGAAUGGUACCACAGUUGCAAUAAAAGGCAGAAUAAUCUGAUUAACACAUUUCUUUUUUUCUCCUGUUUAUUUAAUAUAUGUACACGCUACUACUGUUAAUAAAAUGCGGUAAUAAACAAAAACCGUGAAAGUAUGAGUAUUGCGAUGACUAUGUAUGUUUACCAGAGCAUUUAAACACUGUGCUUCACUGAUACGACAAGUUGAAAACAACAAAGAUCAAACGCAGCACAGAACGCUCUCCAGGCACAGUCGCCUGACACCUGUGGACGUGACAGAUUCUGUUUUUUUUUUUUUUGUUUUUUUUUUCAUUAGCCAUUCACUUUGAGCUGCUAAACAAAUAUUAAGCAAGCAUACAUUGCGGUUUAGAGAACAUAUAAUACCGUUAAAAAAUUCAAGGUCAUUAUUUUCCCUUAAUUUCAUUUUUCUUUGUUCAUUUCUGAGUCGUUCCGCGUACACCCUAGUAUUACCCUUAGAAGUACCCCCGUUGAAAACCCCUGCUCCAAUCAAUUACCAUGCCUCCAUAUCAGAGCAAGGCAGGGCACUAUAAAUAGCACCCCAUCAACGCUCCGUUUAAAGGGUAAGGUUUCUGCUUAUUGUUUUAGUGGACACGUGUCCAUAUGUAACAUCAUUAGCCAUGUGAUCGCUGCUAACCUCCCCCAUUUAACACAUAAUUACAUGCCUAAUCUUGCAUGAAAUUGUACCGCUAAGGACACCACAGAAGGGAAGCUCGAAAGGACAGCAGUGUUGAUGAGUUUAAAAGAAACAAAAGGCUUUUUAUUAUCACUCUCGUACUGUCAGCGCUAACGGCUACCUUGAGUAAUACAAGUAACAGUCUGCAGAAAACACAUGCAGCAUUAUCAGUAUCGUAAAAGCGGUACCACCUUCCGCUUGCAUCACAUUCACAUCAAGUUGAGGCAUGCACGCAGCGUGGAUCGUGCAAUGAAGCAGGAAACGCUGGACAAGUUUGUAAUCAGAAAGUGAGUGCGACAAUGCAUUGUACAGAUGUGGCCGACCAGGACAAAAGAACCACCUGACAGAAGGAGGAAAAAAGAAACCCGCUGUUAGGAAACACGGGAACUCGACGAUCACACCCUGGACUGGACCCUUUGGCUUCAUUUCCUCGAUCGCACAACGGUAUUAGCUCAGAAUGGACCCCAGGAUUUCCGACUCCAACACUGCACCAAAAUAUCACCCUGGGUAGAUCUGCUCAGUAAGCUUCGGAGAAACCACAACAAGCCUUGACUUUGACACCUGUGUUCCAGUUAUCGCCAUGACCUCUUGAAAACACAACAAACAAUCCGGGGCGUUCGCCAAAAAAAAUAAACAAUUAUAUGUAGUUCUUAAAAAAACAAUCUUAAAAAAAAAACAUUCUGCCUUGUUCUGCCCUUUCAUUCCCAACUCCGCUCUAUGCCACUCUUUUCUCUUCGAAAGCAAGUUCAGUUGUUUUCUCACAGCCAUAUCUUCUCCGAUAAUCCUAACCCAAAAGAUCUCCUUCCUCAGUGAUCCAAAAAAAAAAAAAACCCGCCAAGACAAGACUCUCCUUCCUCUUUCCUGUCCUGCCCCUUUUACAGGGCUGCGGGUGUUCCAAUCACUUCAGAAAGUAGGGUUAAAAAUAACAGUUUUUGAAUUUACAAAAUGAAAAACGCAUGCUUAUUUAUUACUGCAAAGUGGAAAAAGAGGGCCCCAAGUUUCCUUAAGGACUCCUCAGGCAUGCAUGUUUUUAUUUUGAAUGGUACAGUGUAAACAGUUGAAAACAGAUGUAUUUAACUGCCAAAGUAUGCUGACUGAAAAGCAGAUGUUUAAAUCUCUCAACCAACCCCCAUCAAAGCAAAUCCUCUAUACACAUCGCAGACUUUCUAAACAUAAUUUAUAUUUGAGUUGAAGAAUCUGCCCCAAACAAACUGAUAAAACAUUGAAUUGAGGUACUGUAGGUUUUCCAGCUAUUACAUUUAAAUGGUUGAACUUGAAAUGAUUUCAGUUGAAUUAAAAUGUUUUACGGUGUUAAAUGUGAUUAAGAGCUAUGCACAUAAACUAUCAUCAAGACAUAUUAUAUUAUAUAUUAUAUUAACUUUGUGUCGUUUUUGUGAGCAAACAGAACAAUAGCUCAUAGCAGGCUUUUCCCCAGGUAAAACAGGCUACUAGUACAGCAUGUACUGUGUACACUGCCAGUACUUUUUAAAUACAGAAUGCUACUGUUCUAUCCCACAUGCUUAUACAACCAAGGGCAGCAUGGGAGUGCAGACCUCUGAUUCCAGAGGAGACAGUGCACCCUAGUGGUGAUCCUAGAGCUUGGAAACAUGGUUUUAGCUUAAAGGGAUAGUUUUAUAUCCUCCACAUUUUCCUGAUAUCUUUUUGCACCUGUUUAAUGUAUUAGUAUGUGUGAUUUGUAGGCUUCUCUGUUGCAGUUUUUGUUUAAAUAAUUAUUUUCCUGGAUUUUUGAAUAUUCCAGCAAAAAAUGCUACAGAAAAAAUACCUCAAUGCUGAUUGUGGGGAAGUGAGGUUAUAGAAUCAUAUCAGUGUUGGCCUGUUCAAUAAUAAUAAUAAUUAUAAUUUAGUUUUAAAACAAAUAAUUCAAAUUCAAAAAUCCCCUAAAUCACUGAAAAUUAAUCAAUGUAAAUGAGUUUGUUAAAAGCCUCCCUGAAUAAAUGAAGUCAUUAUCUGAGCCCAUGGCACAUUCCGUAGGAAGAAACAGCAACAGGGAAGACCUUGGCAGAGUCCCUGAAAUUCUAGGCAUGCAGAAGAGGUCUCGGUCAUAGGCAUCCUGAGACAGCCUGUCUGUGACAUUGGUCUGUUAAAUGACUAUUCCCAGCAUGUGCAUGUUGGAAAGUUACCAUGUUAACCAAGCAGGAUGGGGAUUUACAUAUAAUUCAUAAAACCAAUACCUGGUUACUUUUGCAGGUAUCAUUUUAUAUAUAAAUACAUACAGUGCAUAUAUAUGGACAUACAGUACAGGUGCCUCCGCUUUAUCAAGGGGAAAUGCUGAAUGUUUUAAAUAAACUAUUUCUCUGUAAGAUUAAAAUAAUUGAAUUGAUAUUUGACAUCACGCACACGAUGAUCUUUUGCAUAUGCAUGGAGAGGGUGUGACCUGGGAAGUUAAAUGUUUCUCUUUUUUUACACACUGUAGAGCUGACCUUCACCCACACUACCACUGGGGUAGAAUGAAAUGUCGAAACAUUUUGUAAGACUAACACAACUAAGCUGCUUGUUCAAAUAGAAAUCCUUGACCUCUGCUUAUUAUUUCAUUCCACAGAUGUCUGUGGAGAGAGAAAGCAAAACAUUGUUUCAUCCGAUUGCUUC
Polyodon spathula (Mississippi paddlefish) is the source of this 3502-nucleotide long non-coding RNA. RefSeq lists it as uncharacterized. The record is from RefSeq and is a predicted model, not a curated record. Lineage: Eukaryota; Metazoa; Chordata; Actinopteri; Acipenseriformes; Polyodontidae. The transcript is spliced from 5 exons.